Molecule: RNA transcript, 6429 nt
Organism: Populus euphratica (Euphrates poplar)
Lineage: Eukaryota; Viridiplantae; Streptophyta; Magnoliopsida; Malpighiales; Salicaceae
Gene name: myosin-11-like
Exons: 7
Source: RefSeq, a predicted model, not a curated record
UCUUAACAGUUUUUGACUUUGUGAGCUUAUCAAUCUAAAAGAAUGUAAUGCUGAAGUCUCUUUUCAGAGAGAGAUAGAGAGAGAGUGCUUGUGAGUUUGAUGGAGAAAAUGGGGUGAACUAGGAAGAUAUGCAGCUGGGGGGGUUAGUAUCACGGUGCUGCUGAUCACAGCCGCGUUAUUUUACUGGUUUCAUUCGUUUGAUUUGAAGGUUAUUGAAGUGAGGAGUUCCAUUUCCAACACAAACAGUGGACUUGGUCAAGAAGAUCCAUUUGCACAAACAACAAACAGGUAUAAGUGACAUAUGAAGUGAAGAUCUUGAAGGGUCCUUUGGAACAAUAUUUAGUAGCUAGAAUAACUUAAAUUAUUAUUCUGGCCUGGAUCCACUACUUGGGUUUUUAUUGCCGGUACAAGGACCAGGCUUUUGCAAAGUCCAAGCCAGUUGCUUUAUUGUUCUUGGCUGGAGUCAUGGCAACAUUAUUACAUUCUGAGUCCAGACGAUUAUAUUCUUGGUGGUGGGACAGCCACAUUAGCCCAAAGAAUUCGAAAUGGCUUCAAGAAAAUCUCACAGAUAUGGAUGCCAAAGUCAAAGCAAUGAUCAAGGUCAUUGAAGAAGAUGCCGAUUCUUUUGCAAGGAGGGCAGAAAUGUACUAUAAGAAGCGUCCUGAACUGAUGAAACUGGUGGAGGAAUUCUACAGAGCUUACCGUGCAUUAGCAGAGAGAUAUGAUCAUGCAACAGUGGAGCUCCGCCAGGCUCAUCGAACAAUGUCAGAAGCAUUUCCCAACCAAGUACCGUAUGUACUGGGAGAUGAUUCACCUUCAGGAUCUUCUGGCCCCGAGGGUGAGCCGCAUUCUCUAGAAAUGCCACAUCCCAUUCGUGCAUUUCUUGACCCAGAUGACUUGCGUAUGGAUUCAUUGGGACUCUCUAUUAACAAAACAGGUUUAAAGCAGCUCAAUGAGUUGUUUGGCUCACGAGAUGCAAUAUCCCAAGUUUCAAAAGUUGCAGAUGGAAAAUUGAAAAAAUGCCUGAAGAUUCAUGAAGUAGCAGAGGUUAACACCGGAAAGCAAGCUGAAACUGAAUUUCAAAUCAUAAAGAAAGCUCUUUCAGAGAUUCAAACUGAGAAGGAAGCUGUUCUUCUUCAAUACCAGCAGAGCUUGCAGAAGUUAUCCAGCUUGGAGAGAGAACUAAAUGAUUUCAGAGGGAUUGAUGAAAGAGCAGGCAAAGCAGAAAUUGAAAUUAAGAUCCUGAAGGAAGCCCUUGUUAAAUUAGAAGCUGAGAGGGAUGCUGGUCUUCUUCAGUACAACAAAUGCUUGGAAAGAAUAUCUGCUUUAGAGAAUGUGAUCUCUAAAAUGGAAGAGGACGCAAAAGGUCUCAAUGAACGAGCUAUUAAAGCUGAAAUAGAAGCUCAAAAUCUCAAGGAAGAACUUUCAGGAUUAGAGGCUGAAAAGGAAGCUAGUCUUCUUCAGUACAACCAAUGUCUUGAACUGAUAUCCAAUUUGCAGAAGAAAAUCUUGAUUGCAGAGGAAAAUGCUAGAAUGCUCAAUGCAUUAACCGAAACAGCAGAAACUGAAGCUAAAGCAUUGAAGGAGGCCCUCGCUAAAUUGAGCGAAGAGAAAGAAGCUGCAGAACUUCAGUAUGAGCUGUGUUUGGAGAAAAUAGCUAUAAUGGAGAGUGAAAUUUCUCAUGCUCAGGAGGACGUCAAUCGACUAAACAGUGAAAUUCUGUCAGGGACUGCGAAAUUGAAAACCGCAGAAGAACAGUGUUUCCUGUUACAGAGAUCAAAUCAAUCUCUGCAGUCAGAGGCAGAUACUCUAGUACAGAAGAUAGAAACUAAGGAUCAAGAACUGUCAGAGAAGGUAAAUGAGUUGGAGAAGCUUCAGGCUUCGCUGCAAGAUGAGCAGUCACAGUUUCUUCAAGUUGAAGCCACUUUGCACUCAUUGCAGAAAUUGCACUCUCAAUCUCAAGAGGAGCAGAGAGCUUUGGCAAUUGAGCUUCAGAAUCACUUCCAAAUGUUGAAGGAUUUAGAGAUAUCCAACCAUGAUCUGCAGGAGAACCUUCAACAGGUUAAGGAAGAGAACCAGAACCUCCAUGAAUUGAACAGUAAUUUCGUUAUUUCAAUAACAGAUUUGAAAAAUGAAAUUUUUAGCCUGAAGGAAAUGAAAGAGAAACUUGAAGAGGAUGUUUCCCUACAAGCUGCACAGAGCAAUUCCCUACAGCAAGAGAUUUUCCAUUUGAAGGAGGAAAUUGAGGGCUUGAGUACAAGAUAUUGGGUUUUCAUGGAGCAAGUGGACGCGGUAGGUUUAAAUCCAGAGUGCCUUGGUUCAUCUGUGAAGAACUUGCAAGAUGAAAACUUGAAACUAAAAGAGGUCUGCAAAAAGGACACAGAAGAAAAGGAAGUUCUCCAUGAAAAGUUGAGCACAAUGAAUAACAUUAAGGAGAACAAUGUGGCACUGGAGAGGUCCCUCUCAGAUUUGAAUCGCAUGCUGGAAGGGUCAAGAGAGAAGGUUAAAGAGUUGCAGGAGUCCUCCCAGUUUCUUCAGGGAGAAAAAUCCAGUCUUGUUUCUGAAAAAUCCAUCCUGCUUUCUCAGUUACAGAUGAUGACAGAGAAUUUGCAGAAGCUCUUGGAGAAAAAUGCCUCGCUGGAGAAUUCUCUCUCUGGUGCAACUAUUGAGCUCGAAGGUCUGAGGACAAGGUCAAGAAGCUUAGAAGAAUUCUGCCAGACUCUAAAAAAUGAGAAAGCCAAUCUUGAAGAUGAAAGAAGCUCCCUGGUCUUACAGCUGAAAAAUGUUGAAGAGAGACUGGGAAACCUAGAAAGGAGAUUUACAAGAUUAGAAGAAAAAUACACUGAUCUGGAGAAGGAAAAUGAUUCUACACUUUCUCAAGUAAAGGACCUGUGGGGUUUUCUUAGUGUAGAAAAACAAGAGCAUUCAUGUUAUAUGCAGUCAAGUGAAUCUCGACUUGCAGAUCUGGAAAGCCAGGUCCAUCAACUACAUGAAGAAAGUAGGUCGAGCAAGAAAGAAUUCGAAGAAGAACUGGAUAAAGCUGUAAAUGCUCAGGUUGAGAUCUUCAUCUUGCAGAAGUUUAUUAAAGAUUUAGAAGAGAAGAAUUUGUCCCUGUUGAUUGAGUGUCAGAAACAUGUCGAAGCAUCCAAAUUCUCAGAUAAACUGAUAUCAGAAUUAGAGACUGAAAAUCUUGAGCAGCAGGCUGAAGUAGAAUUCUUGUUAGAUGAAAUAGAAAAGUUUAGAAUGGGUGUUCGUCAAGUUUUGAGGGCUCUUCAAUUUGAUCCAGUUAAUGAGCAUGAAGAUGGGAAUCUUGCAUGUAUUUUGGACAAUAUUGGUGACCUAAAAAGUUUGCUCCUUUUAAAGGAGGAUGAGAAACAGCAGUUGGUGGUUGAGAAUUUGGUGUUGUUAACUUUACUCGAACAACUGAGAUUAGAUGGUGUUGAGCUUGAGACAGAGAAAAGCAUCAUAGAGCAGGAGUUCAAGAUAAUGGUAGAGCAACAUACUCUGCUGGAAAAAAGUAACCACGAACUGCUAGAGAUGAACAGGCAAUUGAGAUUGGAAGUGAGCAAGGGAGAGCAGCAGGAUGAGGAAUUGAAAGCUCAACUUGAAACCCAGCAUUUGAAUCUGGCAAGUUUGCAGGGGUCGUACGGGCAAUUGAAAGAAGAAAAUCUGAAGGUGCUUGGAGAAAACAGGUCUUUGCUUCGGAAAGUUUUGGACCUCAAAGAGGAAAUGCAUGUACUUGAAGAGGAAAACAGUAGCAUUCUCCAGGAAGCUGUAACUGUCAAUAACCUCUCAUCGGUGUUUGAGAGCUUUGCGGCAGAGAAAGUUGAGGAACUCGAAUCCCUUUCUGAAGAUAUCAGCUUUCUAAACUUGAUGAACAGUGAUCUCAAGCAGAAGGUUGAAAUGUUGGGGGAUAAACUGUUAUCAAAAGAAUCAGAAAAUCUGCAUCUUAAUAAAAGAAUUGAAGAGCUGCAGCAGGAACUGCAGGAAGAAAAAGACUUUACAGAUCAAUUAAACUGUCAAAUUGUAAUUGAAAAAGAUUUUCUUCAAGAGAAAGCAACAGAGCUUUUCCUAGCGGAACAAAAUAUCACAGCUACCAACAACUUAAAUGCAGAAUUUCACACCACUAUUGAGGAGCUUAAGAGGCAAUGUGAAGCAUCAGAACUUGCAAGAGAGAACAUAGAUAAGCGGAUUCUUGAACUGUCUCAAGUUUGUACAGAUCAGAAAAUAGAGAUUGAAUGCCUUAAUGAAGCAAAAGACGAUCUGGAGUCAGAAAUGGCUGCAUUACUCAAUGAAAUCAAGGAAAGACAGACUAAGGAAGAGAACUUGAGUUUGGAGCUGCAAGAAAGAAGCAACGAGACUGAACUCUGGGAAGCUGAGGCUUCAUCUUUCUUCUUUGAUCUUCAAAUAUCUUCUAUCCACGAAGUUCUGCUUCAGAACAAGGUUCGUGAGCUGACUGUAGUUUGUGGGAGUCUUGAAGAAGAAAAUGGUAAAAAAGAUAUUGAGAUUGAAAAAAUGAAAGAAAGGUUUGGCAACCUGGAAAGCGAAAUUCAAAGAAUGAAGGCUCAUUUGUCUGCAUAUGCUCCGGUCAUAACUUCACUGAGAGAGAAUAUAGAAUAUCUUGAGCACAAUGUGCUUCUUCAGACAAGUCGAGGACAGAAGGGAGUAGAAAUGACUAGUCAACAUCAUGAAAAGAGCACUGAAGGACUCAUAAAUGAUGAAAGCGUUGCAGUAACAGAUGGAAUUUCAGAUUUGCUGAAGAUGAAGUCUAGAAUUAACGCAGUGGGUGAGGCAGUGGUUAAAGAAAUGGAUAGGCUUGCAGCUGAAAAGGCAAUGUUGAAAGAAAUGGAUAGGCUUAGAAUGCAGGAAAUGGGGAACACUGAGGAGCCCUUAGUGAAAGGGGCUGAACAGUUAGAGAUGAGAGGCCGAUCAGCUGCAGAAAAGGAUGUCCAGAAGGAUGAGAUGGAAUUUGCAAAUAAGCCCCCUGUUGCGGCUAAGCCACAGAACAACAAAUCUGAAAUUUUUGAAGUGAGGAAUGAGAUUUUGAUGAAAGAUAUCCCACUUGAUCAGGUCUCGGAAUGUUCAUUAUACAGGAGAAGCAAGAGAGAGCAUGCUGGGAAAGAUGAUCGGAUGCUUGAAUUAUGGGAAUCUGCUGAGCAAGACUGCCUUGAUCCACUUGCUGACAAACAGAAGCCGACAGCCACUAUUGAGAAUGUUGCUGCGUGUUGUCAGUUCAAAAAUGUCAAACGGAAGAGUCAGGAUCCCUCUUUGGAAUUGCAGAUUGAGAAGGAAGUGGGCAUUGACAAGCUUGAGGUAUCAACAAGCAUCACUAGAGAACCCAAUCAAGAAGGAAACAGAGGAAAGAUCUUAGAGAGGCUUGCUUCUGAUGCUCAGAAAUUAAUUUCUCUUCAAAUAACAGUGCAAGAUUUGAAAAAGAAAAUGGAGUUGAGGAAGAGAGGCAAGAGGGCUAAUGAUCUUGAAUUUGAAAGAGUGAAAAGACAGUUACAAGAAGUUGAGGAGGCUGUUCUGCAGUUGGUUGAUACUAAUGAUCAGCUGACCAAGGAUGUUGAAGAGAGUCCCCCAUAUUUGGAGGGGAACACUUCAGUAGAGAUGGAAGAGACAGGCACCAUGCACAGAAAAAGAGUGGCAGAACAAGCACGGAAAAGGUCUGAAAAGAUCGGAAGGUUACAGUUUGAGGUGCAGAGUAUCCAUUACAUUCUGCUAAAACUGGAGGAUGAAAAGAAAAGCAAAAGUAAGCACAGAUUUUCUGGAGGUAAAACAGGCAUCCUCUUGAGAAACUUCAUAUACAGCGGUGGCAGGAGAAGCAGCAGAAGGCAGAAGAAGGGUUGCUUUUGUGGGUGUGCAAGACCUUCAACUAAUGAAGACUGAGGAAAGCUCCUGUUUCAACUUCCCCUCUUCCCUAAAUCCGCAAAUGGUUAGUAAGCAUGGUCAACAGUCAUCUAAUUCCCUACAGGUCCAAAACUAAGACAUCGAGGUGGUAUUUGUGAAGGUUUAGAUAUGAAUACAGGUAUUUGGCAUUUUGUUGAAGACAAGGAACUCGGGCGGGGCGUACAAUUAUUGGAUGAAAAUCAGAUAUACCCCAAUUGGGAGUAUAACCAGCUUGGUGCAGUUGUGAACUCGAGACCUCCGAUGGUGACCCAUAAACUGGGGAGAAGGGAAUUGUUUAUUAGAUGUAGAAGUUGGUAGAUUCUUAUCCAACCCUUGUACCCCUUAGCCAUCCCAAGCCAGUUAGCGGUUAAGGUAGCAGAUUUCUUUUUCUUUUUUUUUUUGCAACUUAAUUUUCAAUAAAGAAGAUCGCGAGAACUCAAACUAUAGGAUGUACGAAUUCUUCCAUAGUUUGAUGAAGUACUCUGUUUUUUUUAUCGUAAAAGAGUUCAAACUUGACAAGAGCAUGAUGUUGAUGUCUAA